Non-coding RNA from Ceratotherium simum simum (southern white rhinoceros), 173 nucleotides. Lineage: Eukaryota; Metazoa; Chordata; Mammalia; Perissodactyla; Rhinocerotidae. The record is from RefSeq and is a predicted model, not a curated record.
UAGGUGGGGAAAUCAGGCAAGGCUUCUCAGUGGAGGUGACUUUUAAAGCUAAGAACUAAGGAAUGAGAAGGAGCCAGCCAUAUGUCAAGCAAGGGGUAAGUGUCUAGAAUGUUCCAGAAAGAAGGAACAGCAGGUGUAAAGGCCACAAUGUAGGAAUGAGCUUCGUGCAUUAG